Small nucleolar RNA from Planococcus citri (citrus mealybug), 78 nucleotides. The record is from RefSeq and is a predicted model, not a curated record. NCBI's taxonomy places the organism in Eukaryota, Metazoa, Arthropoda, Insecta, Hemiptera, Pseudococcidae.
UAUACAAGUGAUGAUUUUUAACCACCGUGAAUGAUGGUAUGUGAUUAUCUAUAUACAUGCACCUCCAUCUGAUGUAUA